This 3422-nucleotide long non-coding RNA is filed under the name Triticum aestivum (bread wheat). RNAcentral's name for it is "long non-coding RNA (TAES_LNC017491)". Lineage: Eukaryota; Viridiplantae; Streptophyta; Magnoliopsida; Poales; Poaceae. The record is from RNAcentral.
UAUAAAGAACGAUACCAAGGCAGCAGAAAAACUACUCCCUCCGUCAUAUCGGUUGUAAUAUCUUAUAAUAUGGGACCGAGGGAGUAGAUACCAAGGGAGCGCUUGUGUCUGACCUCCUUGAUCAUGCUCACGUCAACACGAGUCCUGGGCGUGGCAUUUUCUGAUUGUUACAAGUUCCAACAUAUAAACAUUAACGAAAGAAGAAAGAAAAAAGAAGCAAACAAGGUAGCUGAAUCUGCAGCCGCGGACAAAGUGCAAGCAAAAUGAUGGCGAUCGCCCAGAGCUAACAUGUUGAUCCAUUGGACAUCUCCAAAUAAGUAGUGCUACUCCACUUCAUUAGGACAUCUAUAUAUCAUCAUCUGUUCUCGGCCUGCGAUUGCAUUUGUUCGUGUCCUUCCCGGAAAUCGCAGCCGUGGUUGCAGCUACUACGGCUGCAGCAACCGCGCCGACCUUGAGGCCUCCCGUGAGCUUCAUAGCCCCGGCCAUCUUUGCAAACGCCGCCGCCCCCACCAACUUCGACCUGAAAGCCAUGGUGCGUUCCUGGGGCAGCUGUUUCAGAAAAUGAGCUAAUUCAGCAGCGAUCUCCUGUUGUUACGCAUGUUAUUUCUUCGAGUGCCUGUUUAGAGCAUCGAUGUAGAGUCAGCAGAGAAGAGGCUUAAGAUGUUUAUCAUGUGCAGUGGCCAUUUGUACUCACAAGAUAGCUGAAGAUAUAGACAAUUGACCAAGGAACGGCAGACUGAAAUCAUUUCUAGACUAGAAAAGAUUUGUUUCAGAGUUGUAGUGUUCGGAACUUCGAAUAUCCUGUAUAUAUCACCCCUCUUCACCAGCCUAAGACUUGUGCACAGGAAACAAAAUUCCCGACUACGAACUCUGCUAUGGAUGAGCUCGCAGGGUGAACCUUUCUUUCAAGUGCCAGACUAGAUCCAACAACACAACCAAAUAUCUCAAGACUUGGGUACACAGGAAACAAAAUUCCUGACCACAAACUCUGCUAUGGACGAGCUCGCAGGAUGAACCUCUUUCAAGUGCUAGAGCAGAUCCAACAAAACAACCAAAUACUAUCUAGCUAGCUGCUGGCUGCUAGAGGGAGAGAUUCUUAGGUACGAUCCAUACCUCGACCAGGAAAUCAGGAAGAAAAAGCAGCCGCGGAGCUGCCGGCUGGCUCGAGGGAGAGCGCGAUCAGCUCCCCAGGACGCCUCGCCUUGGACCUCGCAAGGAAGAUGGGGAGGAAUGUUUUGAGUCAACACGGAGAGGGCCCGUGAGAGUAUGAGCUAGUCACAGGGAGGCCUCUCAAGUCUUUUUCUUUUCUUCUCUUGGGAUGGGUGGGGGCCAAGCUUGGGAGAAGCUGUUGAACGAGCGAUCCCUUUGAAUUCUUCAUGCUCAAACAGACCGCAGAUGCAUGCACCUCCCUCUAUUCAUUCUCCCACCUGCUCCUCUCGCCAUCCAUGCGGGGAAGGGCGGACCAUUUUCCAUGGAGAAAGCAUGCGCCCCCAAUCAACGAGCUCCAUCGCAGAACUGCUCCAGCCACAUGCAUCUGCAAAAAAAUACUUCUCGGUAAAACUAUAAAGCAUGGCUAUAAAUUUUCUGUUGAGACGCAAAGUGAGCACUAAAAUUUAAACUACUGAUGGGUGAAGAUGAUCAGGCACACAUGCAACCAUAAACAACUUUAAAAACAAGCUGUAGAAACAAAUACUAGUAUAUUGAAUAUCCCCCUUGUCCCUCCUCUUGGUGAGAGGUCAUUGUGCUUAUCCCCACUUCUAAUAAAAGAAAUCCACGCAUCUGUCUUUGCCUGCCCAGGCAUCAUCAUGCACUAGCUAGUCAUUCAGAUUAAUUUAUUGUUACUAACUUAUUGCCCCGCCCAGGCAUCUUCUAGCUAAACAAUGCUUUAUUCACCAUAAAAAAUUGUUGGAUCAUUAACCAAGAGAGGGAUCAGGCCAAACGUUCACAUCAACUCCAGCUCUCGUCAGCUACAGAAUAAACCUCCUAUUGGGAAAUGCACGAAGCUUGCUUUCCAUCAAGGUGCAUUCAUCAAAGAUUGUUGCUGCUGAACCAAAAGACCGUUCGCUGGUCAGCAUCACUUCAUUCACAUCGACACAGUCCGAAUCGGUUGCAUCCAAAUUGCUCUGCCAACCGAAGCCCGUGCAGAAGACCAAAGGCUUUAGCAGUUCAGCUGUCACCUAUUUUUAUCUACACAUGCAGGACGUAGCAGUUCAGGACCAGCCUUAAAACCCUUAAUCAUUUGGAACAUUUAGCGCGGUAGUUGGGCAAAUGAGCUGGCAUGCUUAGCCCCGGUACCAACAACCCCCUCAAUUCAUGCAUCGUUCUUCUUCUUGUUGUCUUGAAGCCAGCAUGGGCUUGAUGAGGCGUUGAUUAAACCCACCAGCCCUUCACUGUUGAUCCGUCCUUUGGCUACACACAUCAGCAGCUGCUGCUUGGUCGAUUUUACACUGACCACUAUAGUCUCAGAUCCACACAGAAACAGUUGGGAUCAAUGGAGGCGACAGUGUUGAGCGUGGGCAAGUCCGCGGUGAAGGGGGCGCUCGGCUACGCCCAGUCCGCCAUCGCGGCGGAGGUGGCGCUGCAGCUGGGGGUACAGCGCGACCAGGCCUUCAUCAGGGACGAGCUCGACAUGAUGCAGUCCUUCUUGAUGGUCGCGCACGGCGAGCAGGACGACGGCAAGGUGGUCGGGACCUGGGUGAAGCAGGUCCGUGACCUGGGCUACGACGUCGAGGACUGCCUCCAGGACCUGGCUGUCCGCCUCGAGAAGCCAUCCUGGUGGCGUUUCCUCAGGACACUGCUUGACCGGCGCCAUGUGGCUAAGCAGAUGAAGGACCUGCGGGAGAAGGUCGAGGAUGUCAGCCAGAGGAACUUGAGGUACCGCCUCAUCAGGAGCCCUGCCGCUGCUGCUGACUCCAAGCAUGUCACCACCGCCGCCGACCAAAACUUCGCAGGCAGCGCGACGAUGUUCGGCAUCGACGAGGCGAGGCGUGCCAUGAAGCGGGACAGGCCGAGAGUGGACCUUGCCCAACUUAUCAACAGGGAGGGCAAGGACCUUGGAGUCAUCGCCGUGUGGGGAACAUGUGGUGUUCUUGGGCAGGCGUCUGUGAUACAGAAGGUGUAUGAUGAUGCAGACAAGUUUGAAUGUCGUGCCUGGAUCAAGCUUACACAUCCUUUUGAUCCGAUCAUGUUCAUGCGGAACAUUAUGAGGCAGUUCUAUGGAUGUUCUUUUCCAGAACUGGCAGCUGGGGGUCAAAGCUGUCAAGAAAGAGCAACCACUGUAGGGGCUUAUGUUCUCAAAAAGAUGCUGACAAUAAAGCAAGAAGAUUUGGUUGACGAGUUCAACGAGCAUGUAAAUAGCAAGAGUUACCUGAUUGUUCUUAAUGACCUGUGUACCAUAGAAGAUUGGAACUGGAUCAAAACUU